RNAcentral lists this ribosomal RNA (463 nucleotides) under uncultured bacterium. RNAcentral describes it as "partial 16S ribosomal RNA". It matches the Rfam family "Bacterial small subunit ribosomal RNA", at positions 28 to 507 of the family's 1533-position model. The record is from RNAcentral.
GACGAACGCUGGCGGCGUGCUUAACACAUGCAAGUCGAACGGUGAACCUCUUCGGAGGGGAUUAGUGGCGUACGGGUGAGUAGCACGUGGGCAACCUGCCCCCGGCUCUGGGAUAACUCCAAGAAAUUGGGGCUAAUACCGGAUGUUCACCGCUUCCCGCAUGGGUGGUGGUGGAAAGGGUUUCCGGCUGGAGAUGGGCCCGCGGCCUAUCAGCUUGUUGGCAGGCUAGUGACCUACAAAGGCGACGACGGGUAGCCGGCCUUAGAGGGGGAACGGCCACACUGGGACUGAGACAGGGCGCAGAAUCCUACGGGAGGCAGCAGUGGGGAAUAUUGCGCAAUGGGCGGAAGCCUGACGCAGCGAUGCCGCGUGGGGGAUGACGGCCUUCGGGUGGUAAACCUCUUUCAGCAGGGACGAAGCGCAAGUGACGGUACCUGCAGAAGAAGCACCGGCCAACUACGUG